RNAcentral lists this unclassified non-coding RNA (217 nucleotides) under Hevea brasiliensis (rubber tree). Lineage: Eukaryota; Viridiplantae; Streptophyta; Magnoliopsida; Malpighiales; Euphorbiaceae. The record is from RNAcentral.
GCAAGAUAUAUAUACACAUGAAAUUGAUUUUAGUUAUAAAAAUUCAUACAAUUUGUAAAGCUUAGAUAUAUUCGGUAGAGGCGAGCAAGAGAGACAGAGAAACAAGCGAGAGAGCUAGUGUAUCAAAUAUACAUACAAACCCCGUUUAGAUACAUUAUAUCUAAAACAAAUUACACUUAAUGUGACCGGCAUAUACCUAGGAGUGGCAAGUUUCGAA